This is a long non-coding RNA of Poecilia latipinna (sailfin molly), 479 nucleotides long. RefSeq lists it as uncharacterized. Lineage: Eukaryota; Metazoa; Chordata; Actinopteri; Cyprinodontiformes; Poeciliidae. The transcript has 3 exons. The record is from RefSeq and is a predicted model, not a curated record.
CCAGGGGUCACCGGGGUUCACUUCCAGCAGAUGACUGUCACGGAAAUCUUCACAUCUAUUCAAAUGUGUGAGGCCCCGAAAUUCCAGAUCAGCAGCGACAGGAUGUGAUGUCGUUUUCUGGACGGAGAGAGAAGUCACAUGGAUUGUGGAAGUGCAAGAUACAAAGACUGCAGCGGUGGGGAAGCGGGAUGCAGUGCGUGCAACAUACAUCUGAUCUGGCAUUUGUAGAUGUGACACCAUCCUGGAGGGGGACAUUUGCUGAGCUGCUGCUGCCAACAACUUGACGUUCUCCUUCUACAGAUGAUACACAUUGCUCUGUCCUUCAGGGUUUAACCUUGCCUCUCUCCUAGACAAAGCUAUUGGCUGAGCUUUUGUUGAGGCUCACUAUAUGUACUCUUUUUCUCUCUAAACGUGGGAAAACUGACUCAGAGUUUAGCCGAAGCCAAUAAACUACUGCUAUUAACUUAGAAAGUACUCCU